AGCGGACAGAUGGGAGCUUGCUCCCUGAUGUUAGCGGCGGACGGGUGAGUAACACGUGGGUAACCUGCCUGUAAGACUGGGAUAACUCCGGGAAACCGGGGCUAAUACCGGAUGGUUGUUUGAACCGCAUGGUUCAAACAUAAAAGGUGGCUUCGGCUACCACUUACAGAUGGACCCGCGGCGCAUUAGCUAGUUGGUGAGGUAACGGCUCACCAAGGCAACGAUGCGUAGCCGACCUGAGAGGGUGAUCGGCCACACUGGGACUGAGACACGGCCCAGACUCCUACGGGAGGCAGCAGUAGGGAAUCUUCCGCAAUGGACGAAAGUCUGACGGAGCAACGCCGCGUGAGUGAUGAAGGUUUUCGGAUCGUAAAGCUCUGUUGUUAGGGAAGAACAAGUACCGUUCGAAUAGGGCGGUACCUUGACGGUACCUAACCAGAAAGCCACGGCUAACUACGUGCCAGCAGCCGCGGUAAUACGUAGGUGGCAAGCGUUGUCCGGAAUUAUUGGGCGUAAAGGGCUCGCAGGCGGUUUCUUAAGUCUGAUGUGAAAGCCCCCGGCUCAACCGGGGAGGGUCAUUGGAAACUGGGGAACUUGAGUGCAGAAGAGGAGAGUGGAAUUCCACGUGUAGCGGUGAAAUGCGUAGAGAUGUGGAGGAACACCAGUGGCGAAGGCGACUCUCUGGUCUGUAACUGACGCUGAGGAGCGAAAGCGUGGGGAGCGAACAGGAUUAGAUACCCUGGUAGUCCACGCCGUAAACGAUGAGUGCUA
This 771-nucleotide ribosomal RNA is filed under the name Bacillus sp. SK18. RNAcentral describes it as "bacterial SSU rRNA". It matches the Rfam family "Bacterial small subunit ribosomal RNA", at positions 65 to 818 of the family's 1533-position model. The record is from RNAcentral. Lineage: Bacteria; Bacillati; Bacillota; Bacilli; Caryophanales; Bacillaceae.